Molecule: long non-coding RNA, 1037 nt
Filed under: Vigna radiata
Lineage: Eukaryota; Viridiplantae; Streptophyta; Magnoliopsida; Fabales; Fabaceae
Description: long non-coding RNA (VRAD_LNC008822)
Source: RNAcentral
CGAUUAAAAUGAAGAGCAAGUACUAUGGAACAGGUGAAGGACACGAACAACACAAGAAACAAGAAACUCAAAUGAAACAGAAGUGAAAAAUAUUGGCAAACGGUGAACACAAACUGCACAACACGGAAGUAAGAAAAAAUGAAAGUAAGAGCAACUUAUCUCUUGAAGCAAGGUGUGGACGACCUUGCUCUUGAUGUCAAAUGAUGGAAGCGGCUCCAAUCUUCAAGACUAAGCAGCUCCUCAAACCAGAAGGUGGCAGUGGAAUGAAGAGAUGAUUGGUGGAGGCAUUGCACGGAAGGUGUUCGGUGAAUUGCUUGGAGAAGGAUUAGAAGUAUGCGUGAAGUUUCUCUAGCUCAGGAGGUCUUCCAAGAGGGAUGGAAGCUAGAGGAGGAUUGUGCUAAAGUGGCACAGGCUUUGAACUCAAAAGUAAUAAGUGGCUAGACAAUUCAACAGCGUUUCUCUUUAUCAUUCAAGUUGCCUUUACAAAAAAUAGAGUCUUUCUUUUAUAAGGGAAGAGAUGACUCUGAAGUGUGCCUAGCAAGCUACUAAAAUGACAAGAGAAGUGUGUUGGAGAAGCUACAAGGCCUGGGCUGCAUGUUCCAUGCGUAACACAAUUUUUAACGUGUUUUAAAUGUGUUUUGCUGGUGUAGAAACGUUGGGUGUGGAGUGUAGACGGCUGGGCAGGUGGUAGAAUCCGGAAGACAAUUUUGCACUGUAGUCCAAUCCAUUGUCCAAUCCAGAAAGCACUUCCUUUCUUCCUUUCUUUGCCUCCUUUGCUUCCCUUAGGUCACCAAGCUUCUUUGGCUUAUUGGCUAUGGUUUCCAAGCUUUAUUAUUGUCCUACAAAAUAAUUUAAAUGUAUUUAGUAAAGAGAAUCUAUCUAAGACUUAGAUAAGGUAAGAGCUUUAGAAUUCUUUAUUCCAUUUUCGUUUCUUUAAUCUUAGUUUAAGUUGUUACUUCUUCAGAUGGAAAGUCCCUAAAGGAGUUGUCAUCACUCUUACUAAGAUAGAAGGGAUAAAAACCCUAAUUUCUUUACAU